Long non-coding RNA from Diceros bicornis minor, 348 nucleotides. RefSeq lists it as uncharacterized. The transcript has 3 exons. Lineage: Eukaryota; Metazoa; Chordata; Mammalia; Perissodactyla; Rhinocerotidae. The record is from RefSeq and is a predicted model, not a curated record.
ACUGCUUGAUCACAGAAUAGUAUAGAUUUCUCAUUAUGCACCAGACCAUCUCGUUGACUACCCUGACGCCAACCAUUUUCCACAAUGAGGAUUGGGAUUUUUUCAUCGCAUCGGGCUUCCCUCUUUGGUCCCAAGUCCAGUCUUGAGUGAGUCUUGCCUAACCUUCAUCUUGUCCUGGAUGGGCGUCGGCAUGCUACAGGAAAGAUGGCUGAAAGUGUUCUUCAUUCCCCAGCAAGGGGGAAGCCUGAUGGUCAGAAGGAACAGGGGAACCGCAGUACAUGGCACAGAGCAGCAUCCAGAUUUUCCAGAAUGAUAGGAGCAAGUGCUGAGGAGAAGCAGAGGAAAAGG